GCCCAGACUCCUACGGGAGGCAGCAGUGGGGAAUAUUGCACAAUGGGGGAAACCCUGAUGCAGCGACGCCGCGUGAGCGAUGAAGUAUUUCGGUAUGUAAAGCUCUAUCAGCAGGGAAGAAAAUGACGGUACCUGACUAAGAAGCCCCGGCUAACUACGUGCCAGCAGCCGCGGUAAUACGUAGGGGGCAAGCGUUAUCCGGAUUUACUGGGUGUAAAGGGGGCGCGGACGGCAGCGCAAGCCAGGAGUGAAAGCCCGGGGCCCAACCCCGGGACUGCUCUUGGAACUGCGCGGCUGGAGUGCAGGAGGGGCAGGCGGAAUUCCUGGUGUAGCGGUGAAAUGCGUAGAUAUCAGGAGGAACACCGGUGGCGAAGGCGGCCUGCUGGACUGCAACUGACGUUGAGGCCCGAAAGCGUGGGGAGCAAACAGGAUUAGAUACCCUAGUAGUA
RNAcentral lists this ribosomal RNA (449 nucleotides) under uncultured bacterium. RNAcentral describes it as "partial 16S ribosomal RNA". It matches the Rfam family "Bacterial small subunit ribosomal RNA", at positions 329 to 795 of the family's 1533-position model. The record is from RNAcentral.